RNAcentral lists this unclassified non-coding RNA (308 nucleotides) under Hevea brasiliensis (rubber tree). The record is from RNAcentral. Lineage: Eukaryota; Viridiplantae; Streptophyta; Magnoliopsida; Malpighiales; Euphorbiaceae.
GUUUCUUUUCAAAUGCUUUAGGAGGGUUGAAGAGCUAUGAGAAUCCAAAGCAUAAGGUCACCGCUGUCUUAGCAAACGAAGAAGAGAUAUGUGGUGCUAUUUUCAAGGUGGAAGGAUCUGUAGUUCUUACAGCAACACAAUAGGGAACAUUGUUGCUGCCUACCACUACAGGCAUCUCCCAGCACAUAAAUAACAUGUUGUGUGCAUGAAGCGAGAUACAUUGUGAAAAUCAUGUAAAUUAUCGGGGAGAAUUUCUAGUACCAAGACUAUUACAUGUUUGUUUCUUAGAUUGGUGAUUUUCAGUAAGG